ACUUCGGUUGUGUAUUGGAUUAGCCCAGCAGACCGGAUAUCUGUAAGUGCGGGUUCGAGUCCCGCCUGACAUU
RNAcentral lists this transfer RNA (73 nucleotides) under Dictyocaulus viviparus (bovine lungworm). It matches the Rfam family "tRNA". From Rfam's summary of the family: Transfer RNA (tRNA) molecules are approximately 80 nucleotides in length. The record is from Rfam by way of RNAcentral. Lineage: Eukaryota; Metazoa; Nematoda; Chromadorea; Rhabditida; Metastrongylidae.